This 253-nucleotide ribosomal RNA is filed under the name uncultured bacterium. Its description in RNAcentral is "partial 16S ribosomal RNA". It matches the Rfam family "Bacterial small subunit ribosomal RNA", at positions 524 to 776 of the family's 1533-position model. The record is from RNAcentral.
UACGAGAGGCCCAAACGUUAUUCGGAAUUACUGGGCUUAAAGAGUUCGUAGGCGGCGCAGAAAGUAGGGGGUGAAAGCCCUCGGCUUAACCGAGGAAUUGCGGCCUAAACUACUGUGCUUGAGGAACCUAGAGGUGAGCAGAACAGAUGGUGGAGCGGUGAAAUGCGUUGAUAUCAUCUGGAAUACCGGAGGCGAAGGCGGCUCACUGGGGGUUUUCUGACGCUGAGGAACGAAAGCCAGGGUAGCGAACGGG